UCAAACUUGGUCAUUUAGAGGAAGUAAAAGUCGUAACAAGGUCUCCGUUGGUGAACCAGCGGAGGGAUCAUUAAAGAGUUCUAUAACUCCCAAACCCAUGUGAACAUACCUUACGUUGCCUCGGCAGGUCGCGCCUACCCCGUAGCCCCCCUACCCUGUAGGACCUACCCGGUAGGCGCGGGUAAGCCUGCCGGCGGCCCACGAAACUCUGUUUAGCCAUUGUAUCUCUGAACAUAUAACUAAAUAAGUUAAAACUUUCAACAACGGAUCUCUUGGUUCUGGCAUCGAUGAAGAACGCAGC
RNAcentral lists this unclassified non-coding RNA (301 nucleotides) under uncultured fungus. RNAcentral's name for it is "partial contains small subunit ribosomal RNA, internal transcribed spacer 1, and 5.8S ribosomal RNA". The stretch from base 1 to 73 matches the Rfam family "Eukaryotic small subunit ribosomal RNA", at positions 1759 to 1831 of the family's 1831-position model. Lineage: Eukaryota; Fungi. The record is from RNAcentral.